Mangifera indica (mango) is the source of this 107-nucleotide small nucleolar RNA. RefSeq annotates it as small nucleolar RNA snoR99. The record is from RefSeq and is a predicted model, not a curated record. NCBI's taxonomy places the organism in Eukaryota, Viridiplantae, Streptophyta, Magnoliopsida, Sapindales, Anacardiaceae. The transcript has a single exon.
GUGUUUUAAGAAUGAACAAAUCCCUAAUAUUAAUGUUAUCCAUUGUAACCAUUUUUUCAGCUUGCUUUGUUUCGGUUUCUUUUUUAUCAUUGGAGGAUGGAAAAUGU